This 120-nucleotide microRNA precursor is filed under the name Adineta vaga. RNAcentral describes it as "microRNA mir-598". The record is from RNAcentral. Lineage: Eukaryota; Metazoa; Rotifera; Eurotatoria; Adinetida; Adinetidae.
AUUUGAUGAUCAAGAUGAUGAUCAAGAUGAUGAUGAUGUUGUUCUACAAGAAGAUGAAGAAGAAGAAGAAGAAAAUGAUAAUGAUCGACGUCGUCGUCAUCGUCAUCAUCAUCGUCAUCA